Molecule: long non-coding RNA, 474 nt
Organism: Penaeus chinensis
Lineage: Eukaryota; Metazoa; Arthropoda; Malacostraca; Decapoda; Penaeidae
Exons: 3
Source: RefSeq, a predicted model, not a curated record
CCUCUGUCCCCUCCGUUGUCACUGGGCGGGGAUUCGGUGUGCGCUGCGUGGAGGAGAGGUGUUGUUGCUACUAUUGUCAUUGCGAAUACUGGUUGACUACUGCCACUGCUUUUAAUAUUUAUCCUCCCCGCGAUGACUUACGAGGAGACGCAGCCAGAGACGAGGCGAGGAGCAGAGCCAGCGCUGCCUCGUGGAAACGCGCCAUCCUGUCCCUCCUGCUGUCGAUCAAAGAAAAAAGUGCCUUUCUCUUUCCAAGAAACAACCUCAGAAGAAGGCAAGGCUCGUUGGGAACGUCACGUGGCUGUGUAAUGUUUUCCUUAAAACAAGUAAGUGAUAAGUAAUUGUUGCUUCUUAGCAAGAGAGACAGAACAAGGGAUAUCCUAAAUGCAUCAUUUAAAUAAGGUUUAUAAUAUUUCGAGAAUCUUAUUGUAUCAAUGAUUAUUUUUAUGUGACCCUUGCAUUAUCUCAAAUUAA